CUGCCACGUGGCAAAACCACGUCGACCGGGGACGGGCCACGUUGGCGAUCCGCGUACGCGCGAUCGGACGGCCCAGAUCAAGCGUGCGUACGGACGGCCCAGAUUAAAUCAAAAUGGAUGGCUGAGAUCAAAAGGCAAAAGGGUAUAAAUAGAACCUCCACACCUGACCACAAAAACCCUAGCCGCCUGCCCUCGCCGGAGAAGACAAACCAGACGCCAGAGACGCCGGCCGCCGCCACCCGCCGCCGCACCGGGGAGAUUUUCGACCGCUGAUCGAGGUAAAUUUCAUACCCCCGACUCGUUUUUCCACGCUGAUUUCCCCUGUGGCCAAAUCGGAGCCAAAAUCCCAGCCAAAUGGCCGGAAAACACUGCCGAAACCCAGCGGCACCGCCGCGCCCCUCCUCGGUUUUUGCCUCCGAUGAGGCCCUUCCCGGCCUCCGUUUGAUGCAAUUUUUAUAUCACCGUGAUCACCAUUCUUUUCUCUACAGGAUAAUCAGAGCCGAAUCACCAAAACACGAACCUCACCGGAGAGCCGCCACACCCGAGAGCACCGCCGCCGGUAAGCUUCAGUUUUCCGUAAUUUUUUGGCCCCCCGAGGGCCUUAGGGUUGUUUUAUCGCAGGGACCGAUGCAAGUGUGGCCGAAUUCGGCCAGAAACGGCCGAAAACGGCCAAAUCAAGGCGAAUCGCCGCAAUAUGCGGCAGCGCUGUCGCCGGAGCACGGUGGAGCUGCCGUGCCGGAAUUGCGAUAUUGGCCAAAAAGGGGCCCUGGGCCUAAUUUGGGAUUUUUUGGAAUACGUGCAGGUACCAGUAGUGCAUUUCAGUUGCCCGGGAAAAAUUCAGAAAAAAUUAGGGACAGCCUGUAGGCGCACUGUGAAGUCGUGUUCGGACCUCGAAACGAGUAAGGACCCCUCACCCUAUUUCCUAUCACGGUAUUAAAGUUCAAUAAUGAUAAAACGGUAUUUCUUGAAUCAACGAAUGUGUGAAAUUGCUUAAGGUCACUAAUGGAGCCCGAGUCUAGUGUGUUUGUCAGUUAACUGUUAUUUGGCCUAUUUUACAGUUUCAAAUGCAGUAUGAGGUUUGAUGUUUUCAUUUUAUAGUUUUGUGUGCAUAUUUUACUGUUUUAUUGAUUAUGGAUUGAAUGACUGAGAUACUGAUGCUGUAUGUUGCUUGUUUGGCAUAAAUUACUGUUUUGCUUGUUUGUAUGUGAAUUGAUGAUGUUGACUGAGGAAAAGGAGAAUGAAAGAUUAUGAAAAUUGGUAAUUGUAUAAUGUGGUCAGCCUGACUAGAUAUCCUGGGAGAUGGUGGACGGACCGGGUCCGUAGGGAACCCUACCGGGAUUGUGGUCUCUCAUACCGGACGGGGUAUGAAGACCUUAUGUGUUUUGGCGCCCAUACCGGACGGGGUAUGGGGACGUCCCAUUUCACCCUCAUACCAGACGGGGUAAUGGGGUUUAUAGUUUUAGUGCCCAUACCGGACGGGGUAUUGGGACGGCCCUGGAAUCUGAUUUCAAGUGUUAAGGGUUAACGGGUAGCGGGACCCCUAUGGAUCCCCAUGGAUACUAGUGGGCUGGUAAAUGAGGAAAAUAUGUUGUGUAAUGAUUGAAUUACAAAAGGCGUAAUAAGUGUUAUGUUAUACAGUUUAUAUAUGAUUUCAUGAUGAUGAUAAUGUUAUUGCUUUCGUAUACUGUUUUAUGAAUUUCAUCGAGGUAAGUGGAUGGUGAAGGAUUUAUUAUUGAUAAAAGAAUUUGUUGUAAAUUAUGCUCCAUUGGUCUUUUUGUGUUUUCUACCCACCUUUACCUCCGUGACGGUGAGAUAUCGUGAUGUCCUUACUGGGCUAGUGUAGCUCAUUCCUUAUUUAAUCAUUUCAGAUCAAGAAGACAUUGUUCCCGAGCCCGUUCCGCAGGAGGACGACGAAGGGGACGCCUAAAGACUCCAUAGUCAUAUUCGUAGCUUUUACUUUCGAGUUUCUCCUUUAGGUAGUUUGAUCUUUUAUAUUUUGUGAGCACGUUUUUGGUUUUAGUGUAAGGGAUGUUAAUCGAAUUUUUUGACUUCGUUUCCGAAUUUGAUAUUUUUAAUACACAUUUCAUUUUGAAUUUACGGGGCCGUUACAGUUGGUAUCAGAGCCGCAUUUCCUCGGACCCAUCCCUUACACAAUAGUGCCUUAGAGUAAUACUCACCGAUAUAUCGUUACUCAAUCAUUCCUUGUGAAUGCAGGUACACGGGAAUGAAGAGAGGACGGCCCCCACUAAACCGAGCGGCCCAAGAUAAUUCACUUCGGGAGGAUUUAGACAGACUAUUUGAGAUGGUGGAGGCUCUCGUAGCUGCCCAGUGAAGGCAAGAGGAGAGAAGGGAGUUACCCGGACCUCCUCCGCUAGCGCAGGUUGAGCCCCCGCUACAGCAGGCUGAUCCCGAGCCACCCCGGCAGGAGCCUGUUCUUCCACUGUACCACCCGGCACCACAGCCGCGGUACGACCAGGUACCACAGCCACGGUACCAGCAGGCGCCGCCACAGCACAUUCCAGUACCCCCACCACAUCAGCAGGUGCCACCACAGGGUCCCCCAGUUCACCCUCAGCCGGCCCCAGUCCCUCUACCUCGGGACCCCGCUCCUUCCUUGAUCGACCCCGGCUUCAUAGAGAGGUACAGAAGACUGAACCCUUCUACUUUUGCAGGGGGAUCCUCUUUUGAAGAUGCCCAAUACUAGCUGGCAGAGACUGAGAGAGCUUUCAAGACCUUGGGAGUAGUUCCUGAGCAGAGGGCUGCCAUUGCCUCCUACAUGCUGGUAGGGGAAGCAGUACGCUGGUGGGAGCUCAAGCAGGCCACCCUGCCUACACCAGCUACUUGGGAGCAGUUUCUAGCGGCCUUCCAUGCGGAGUAUCUCCCUAAACACAUCCAAUAUCUAAAGAAAAUUGAGUUUGCUCAAUUGGUCCAGGGAAAUAUGACAAUGUCAGAGUAUGCCCGUAAGUUCCUGGAGCUGGGCCGACAUGCCCCGGAGACAUUGAUGGAUGAGGGCCGAAAGGCCAGGAAAUUCCAGUGGGGUCUUCGCCCGAAGAUCAGACAGCACUUACUGGUGAUGGAGCUCGAGACAUAUUCGGCAGUCCUAGCAAAGGCGCAGAUCGUAGAAAGGAGCUUCGACACCCGCCCUCAGCUAGCGGGAAGUUCCCGACCCUCAGCCCCGCUUCGCAGGCCAGCACCUACCAUGCCUGUCCAACCCAGUAAGAGGCCCAGACCCGCCGUCCAGGCCCCUCCUCAGGCUACGGGGGCAGCACGUGGGAAGAUCUGCCAGUAUUGCGGCAGGGAUCACGGGGACCGACCCUGCUACCGCCUCAACAACACCUGUCGCAUAUGCGGCAGUGCCCAGCACUAUGCAAGGGAAUGCCCUAGGAACCAGAAUCAAGGAAGGCCUCCAAUCCAGGGCAGAGUUUACAACCUUACCCAGAAGGAUGCCGACGCAGACCCGGACGUGGUACAUGGUAUGUAUACUAUCUCUGGCCACAUUGCUCAUGUUUUGUUUGAUACUGGUGCAUCACAUUCUUUUAUUUCACAUGUUCUUGCUUCCGAAAUUUGUGUAUCACCUGAUAGACUUGAUUCAUUAUUGCUUGUAUCUACCGCUGGGGGGGAGACAUUGCUAGGAGAGGUUGUCUACAGGCCAUGUGUCGUGGAGAUAGCAGAUAGGAAAUUGAGGGUAGACCUGAUAGGGUUAGACACGGGGGAUUUUGAUGUAAUCUUAGGAAUGGAUUGGCUAGCGGCGUAUCACGCCACCAUAGACUACUUUAACAAAAAGAUUGUAUUUAAUCCUCCCAACGAGGAGCCAUUUACAAGUUAAUAAAAUUAUUCAGUACUGAUUUGCCCUAAUGGCAAGUUUUCUUAAUUCCCAGUGCCUUAAUCUUGUAUUUUCUCUAACUAGGUAAACCCAAGAAAGAAGUUUGUAUCCAAGAGAUUCCAGUAGUCCGAGACUUUUCAAACGUAUUUUCGGAUGAACUGCCCGGUCUACCAGCGGACAGAGAGGUCGAGUUCACCAUAGACUUACAGCUAGGAACCCAGCCCAUCUCGGUAGCUCCUUACCGAAUGAGCCGCAUCGAGAUGGAAGAACUAAGGAAACAGAUCACUGAGCUACAAGACAGUGGUUUCAUUAGACACAGCGUUUCCCCAUGGGGUGCCGGGGUUACUUUUGUAAGGAAGGGAGAUGGAACGUUGAGACUGUGCAUUGAUUACAGAAGGAUAAAUAAGGUAACAAUUAAGAACAAAUACCCUCUUCCCCGGAUUGAUGACCUUUUCGAUCAGUUACAGGGUGCACAGGUCUUUUCUAAAAUAGAUCUACGAUCAAGUUACCAUCAGGUAAAGGUGAGAGCAGAAGACAUCCCCAAGACGGCAUUCUGAACCAGGUACGGACACUAUGAGUUCCUGGUUUAUGCCGUUUGGGCUAACCAACGCCCUGGCUAUCUUUAUGGAUCUAAUGAACAGGAUCUUCAGAGAGUUCUUGGAUCAAUUUUUCAUCGUGUUCAUCGAUGAUAUCUUAGUCUGCUCAAAAAGUAGAGAAGAACAUGCUCAUCAGCUUGCCCAAGUCCUACAGGUACUCAGGGAAAAGAAGUUGUAUGCAAAGUUGAGCAAGUGUGGAUUUUGGCUCGAGCAAACCGCCUUCCUAGGACAUGUUAUAUCGAAGGAAGGGGUGUCAGUGAACCCCGAAAAGGUUGAAGCAGUACUUGGUUGGGAAAGGCUGACAACAGUUAAGGAGAUUCGCAAUUUCCUAGGGAUGGCGGGUUACUACCGCCGGUUUGUCGAAGGGUUCUCUAGUCUAGCAGCUCCUCUAACCCGACUCACAAAGAAGAAUGCAAAGUUUGAAUGGAAUGAGAACUGAAAAAGGAGUUUGUCAGAAUUGAAGAAGCGACUGACUACUGCACCCGUGCUGGCUCUACCGAGUGGAUCAGGAAGGUAUACAGUUUAUAGUGAUGCCUCCUAUCUGGGCCUGGGUUGUGUCCUGAUGCAGCAUGGAAAGGUUAUAGCAUAUGGGUCUAGACAGCUAAAGAAUCAUGAGAAGAACUAUCCUACCCAUGACUUGGAGCUUACCGCAAUCAUACACGCCUUGAAAACCUGGCGCCAUUAUUUGUAUGGAGAGACCUUUCAGAUCUACACCGAUCAUAAGAGUUUGAAGCACAUCUUCACUCAGAAGGAUCUCAACAUGCAUCAGAGAAGGUGGAUGGAACUCCUCAAGGACUAUGAUUGUGACAUCCUAUACCAUCCAGGUAAGGGCAACGUAGUAGCCGAUGCCCUCAGCAGGAAAAGUGCAGGCACCCUAGCCCAUUUGAUGGUUUCAGAAUGCAGGUCCAUUGGGGCCACGCAGCAGGUUCGACUGCGAGAUCUGAAGAGGGCCACAUGUUUGGCCCACCUAGCAGUCCAACCCGAGUUAAUCCAAAGAAUAAAGGAAGCCCAGUCAGUCGACCCUGCCCUAGUAACCCGCAAGAAGGAUGCAGAACAGGGAGUGAGCUCAGAAUUUCAUAUCUCUGCCGACGGAUUGAUUCGUUUCAAGGACAGAGUGUGUGUCCCCGACGACAGUGAGUUAAAAAGAGACAUCAUGACAAAGUCCCAUAGUUCAAGGUUUGCCAUGCAUCUAGGAAGUACAAAAAUGUACCAAACUAUGCGACCUCGGUUCUGGUGGAAUGGGAUGAAGAGAGAUAUAGCCGACUUUGUAUCUAAGUGCUUGGUAUGUCAGCAGGUCAAAGCAGAACAUCAACGCCCAGGUGGGUUACUUCAGCCUUUACCGAUUCCAGAGUGGAAGUGGGAACACAUCACCAUGGACUUUGUAUCGGGACUACCCAAGGCACGAUCGGGACAUGAUGCUAUAUGGGUAAUUGUUGACCGACUCACUAAGUCUUCCCACUUCCUGGCCAUCAGAAUGAUUGAUUCUUUGGACAAGUUGGCAAGAAUAUAUAUCCGGAAGAUAGUCAGACUGCAUGGAGUCCCAGUAACAGUGGUAUCCGAUAGGGAUCCCAGAUUCACUUCUCGGUUUUGGAAUAGUUUCCAGCAAGCUAUGGGAACAAAGUUGUCUCUUAGUACAGCCUUCCACCCCCAAACUGAUGGACAAUCAGAGAGGACAAUUCGUACGCUUGAGGAUAUGCUCUGAGCUUGUGUCCUUGACUCCGGGGGCCAUUGGGACUACCAUCUACCCCUGAUAGAGUUUGCCUACAACAACAGCUACCAAGCAAGCAUCGGCAUGGCCCCAUACGAGGCGCUAUAGGGGCAUCCGUGCAGGUCACCGAUUUGUUGGGAGGAAGUGGGCGAUAGAAGAUUGUUUGGCCCGGAUUUGGUAGAAGAGACCACGUCCAAGAUAGUUAAAAUCAAGAAGAACAUUCAGACAGCUCAGAGUAGGCAGAAGAGUUAUGCUGAUACCCGGAGGAGAGACCUGGUUUUUGAGACAGGCGACCGGGUGUUUCUUAAGGUCACCCCCUUCAAGGGAAUUAGUAGGUUCGGCAGGAGGGGAAAAUUAAACCCCAGAUAUAUUGAACCCUUUGAAAUCUUAGACAAGAUUGGUACCACUGCCUACAGACUUGCACUGCCUCCGGAGCUCUCCCGGGUUCAUAAUGUGUUUCAUGUAUCUAUGCUACGUAAGUACAACCCGGACCCUUCUCAUGUCUUGGCUCAUGAACUGCUUCCACUCCAAGAGGAUUUGUCUUAUGAAGAAGUACCGGUCGAUAUCACGGACCGAGAGAGCAGAAUACUCCGCAACUGGGAAAUAUCAUUUGUAAAAGUCGUGUGGCAGAACCACACGCCCAGGGAGGCUACUUGGGAACUGGAAUCAGAAUUUAGGGUCCAAUAUCCCCAUCUGUUCGAUCAAGAGUAAUGAGUCAAAUUUGGGGACCAAAUUUCUUUAAAGGGGGGAGAGUUGUAACGCCCGGAAAUUUGAAAAAAAAUUUAUUAUUUUAUUAUUAAUUAUUUUAAUUAGGUUUUUAAAAAAACAAACGCCACGUCAGCAGCCACGUCAGCAGACCCAGUCAGUAAUCCUAACCAACCAGGACCUGCCACGUGGCAAAACCACGUCGACCGGGGACGGGCCACGUUGGCGAUCCGCGUACGCGCGAUCGGACAACCCAGAUCAAGCACGCGUACGGACGGCCAAGAUGCAAUCGCACGAACGGCCCAGAUUCAAUCAAAAACGGACGGCCCAGAUUAAAUCAAAAUGGACGGCUGAGAUCAAAAGGCAAAAAGGUAUAAAUAGAACCCCCACACCUGACCACAAAAACCCUAGCCGCUUGCCCUCGCCGGAGAAGACUAACCAGACGCCGGCCGCCGCCGGCCACCACCACCUGCCGCCGCACCGGGGAGAUUUUCGACCGCUGAUCGAGGUAAAUUUCAUACCCCCGACUCGUUUUUCCACGCUGAUUUC
RNAcentral lists this long non-coding RNA (7381 nucleotides) under Carica papaya (papaya). RNAcentral describes it as "long non-coding RNA (CPAP_LNC006722)". Lineage: Eukaryota; Viridiplantae; Streptophyta; Magnoliopsida; Brassicales; Caricaceae. The record is from RNAcentral.